CCUACGGGUGGCUGCAGUGGGGAAUAUUGCACAAUGGGGGAAACCCUGAUGCAGCGACGCCGCGUGAGUGAAGAAGUAUUUCGUUACGUAAAGCUCUAUCAGCAGGGAAGAAAAUGACGGUACCUGAGUAAGAAGCACCGGCUAACUACGUGCCAGCAGCCGCGGUAAUACGUAGGGGGCAAGCGUUAUCCGGAUUUACUGGGUGUAAAGGGAGCGUAGACGGGGUGGCAAGUCUGGAGUGAAAUGCCGCAGCUUAACCGCGGAACUGCUUUGGAAACUGGCGAACUUGAGUGCGGGAGAGGUAAGCGGAAUUCCUGGUGUAGCGGUGAAAUGCGUAGAUAUUAGGAGGAACACCGGGGGCGAAGGCGGCUUGCUGGACCGUAACUGACGUUGAGGCACGAAAGCGUGGGGAGCAAACAGGAUUAGAUACCCUGGUAGUC
RNAcentral lists this ribosomal RNA (440 nucleotides) under uncultured bacterium. RNAcentral describes it as "partial 16S ribosomal RNA". It matches the Rfam family "Bacterial small subunit ribosomal RNA", at positions 338 to 795 of the family's 1533-position model. The record is from RNAcentral.